GCCAGCAUGGCAUAGUGGUUUGGGUGUUGGACUACCAUUCUGGAGAUUGGGGUUCAAUUCCCAACUCGGCCA
Phrynosoma platyrhinos (Desert horned lizard) is the source of this 72-nucleotide non-coding RNA. The record is from the annotation of a GenBank genome assembly. NCBI's taxonomy places the organism in Eukaryota, Metazoa, Chordata, Lepidosauria, Squamata, Phrynosomatidae.